RNAcentral lists this ribosomal RNA (253 nucleotides) under uncultured prokaryote. RNAcentral's name for it is "partial 16S ribosomal RNA". It matches the Rfam family "Bacterial small subunit ribosomal RNA", at positions 524 to 776 of the family's 1533-position model. The record is from RNAcentral.
UACGGAGGGUGCAAGCGUUAUCCGGAUUCACUGGGUUUAAAGGGUGCGUAGGCGGGCAGGUAAGUCAGUGGUGAAAUCUCCGGGCUUAACCCGGAAACUGCCGUUGAUACUAUCUGUCUUGAAUAUCGUGGAGGUAAGCGGAAUAUGUCAUGUAGCGGUGAAAUGCUUAGAUAUGACAUAGAACACCGAUUGCGAAGGCAGCUCGUUACACGAACAUUGACUCUGAGGCUCGAAAGCGUGGGGAUCAAACAGG